Molecule: small nuclear RNA, 108 nt
Filed under: Pestalotiopsis fici W106-1
Lineage: Eukaryota; Fungi; Ascomycota; Sordariomycetes; Amphisphaeriales; Sporocadaceae
Description: U5 spliceosomal RNA
Rfam family: U5 spliceosomal RNA
About the family: U5 RNA is a component of both types of known spliceosome.
Source: Rfam by way of RNAcentral
AGGAGCUUGGACGUUAUAUUUCAACAAGAAUCAUGCCUUUUACCUGACUCUUCGAUUUAAUGCCAAACUUUGCUCCGUUAAUCAAUCUUUGGAACGCUUUUGAAGCAA